GACGAACGCUGGCGGCGUGCCUAAUACAUGCAAGUCGAGCGAAGUUUUUCUGGUGCUUGCACUAGAAAAACUUAGCGGCGAACGGGUGAGUAACACGUAAAGAACCUGCCUCAUAGACUGGGACAACUAUUGGAAACGAUAGCUAAUACCGGAUAACAGUAUUUCUCGCAUGAGAGAUAUUUAAAAGUUGGUUAUGCUAACACUAUGAGAUGGCUUUGCGGUGCAUUAGCUAGUUGGUGGGGUAAAGGCCCACCAAGGCGACGAUGCAUAGCCGACCUGAGGGGGGUAACCGCCAAACCGGGAACUGAGAACGGGCCAGGACCCUAAGGGGGGCAAGAGGAAGGAAACCUCCGGAAAGGGCGGAAAGCUUGCGGAGGAAAGGCGGGGGGGUUGAAGAAGAAUUCCGUUCGGUAAGCUCUGUUGUUAGGGAAGAAUGGAUAUGUAGUAACUAUACAUGUAAGAGACGGUACCUAACCAGAAAGCCACGGCUAACUACGUG
Molecule: ribosomal RNA, 499 nt
Filed under: uncultured bacterium
Lineage: Bacteria
Description: partial 16S ribosomal RNA
Rfam family: Bacterial small subunit ribosomal RNA
Source: RNAcentral